This 468-nucleotide ribosomal RNA is filed under the name uncultured bacterium. RNAcentral's name for it is "partial 16S ribosomal RNA". It matches the Rfam family "Bacterial small subunit ribosomal RNA", at positions 28 to 507 of the family's 1533-position model. The record is from RNAcentral.
GAUGAACGCUGGCGGCGUGCUUAACACAUGCAAGUCGAACGGACAGGCCCUGCUCUUGUUGGUUGCUCGAUUGGCGAACGCGUGUGUAUCACGUGUGUAACCUGCCCUUGUCUUUGUGAUAACUUCAGGAAACUGGGGCUAAUAUCGGAUAUGAUCUCCUGCUGCGUGGUGGGGGUUGGAAAGUUUCGGCGUUUGGGGAUGGACUCGCGGCUUAUCAGCUUGUUGGUCUGGUAGUGGCUUUCCAAGGCUUAGACGGCUAGCCGGCAUGGGAGCGUGACCGGGGGCAUGGGUCCUAAGGGAGGGACCAGACUGCAACGGGAGGCAACGGUGGGAAGUAUGGCGCAGUGGCCGGGAGCCUGAUACAGCAGCGCCGCGUGCGGAAUGACGGCCUUUGGGGUAAAAACAGAUUUCGCAUGAGCCAAGGCGUGAGUGACGGUACUGAAUAAAGAAGCACCGGCUAACUACGUG